UGGGGAAUAUUGGACAAUGGGCGCAAGCCUGAUCCAGCCAUGCCGCGUGAGUGAUGAAGGCCUUAGGGUUGUAAAGCUCUUUCGGUGGGGAAGAUAAUGACGGUACCCACAGAAGAAGCCUCGGCUAACUUCGUGCCAGCAGCCGCGGUAAUACGAAGGGGGCUAGCGUUGUUCGGAUUUACUGGGCGUAAAGCGCACGUAGGCGGAUUGGUCAGUUAGGGGUGAAAUCCUGGAGCUCAACUCCAGAACUGCCUUUAAUACUGCCAGUCUCGAGUCCGGAAGAGGUAAGUGGAACUCCUAGUGUAGAGGUGGAAUUCGUAGAUAUUAGGAAGAACACCAGUGGCGAAGGCGGCUUACUGGUCCGGUACUGACGCUGAGGUGCGAAAGCGUGGGGAGCAAACA
RNAcentral lists this ribosomal RNA (402 nucleotides) under uncultured Devosia sp. RNAcentral's name for it is "bacterial SSU rRNA". It matches the Rfam family "Bacterial small subunit ribosomal RNA", at positions 355 to 774 of the family's 1533-position model. The record is from RNAcentral. Lineage: Bacteria; Pseudomonadati; Pseudomonadota; Alphaproteobacteria; Hyphomicrobiales; Devosiaceae.